Molecule: ribosomal RNA, 253 nt
Filed under: uncultured bacterium
Lineage: Bacteria
Description: partial 16S ribosomal RNA
Rfam family: Bacterial small subunit ribosomal RNA
Source: RNAcentral
UACGUAGGGCGCAAGCGUUAUCCGGAGUUACUGGGCGUAAAGCGCGGGCAGGCGGCUCGAUGCGUCUGAUGUGAAAUCUCCUCGCUCAACGGGGAGAGGCCAUUGGAAACGGUCGAGCUGGAGGGCAGUAGAGGUAGGCGGAAUUCCGGGUGGAGUGGUGAAAUGCGUAGAGAUCCGGAGGAACACCAGAGGCGAAGGCGGCCUACUGGGCUGCACCUGACGCUGAGCCGCGAAAGCCAGGGGAGCGAACGGG